GACGAACGCUGGCGGCGUGCUUAACACAUGCAAGUCGAACGGACAGACCCUGCUUUUGUUCGUUUCUCGAUUGCCGAACGGGGGAGUAACACGUGAGGAACCUGCCCUUAACUGUCUGAUAACUUCACGAGACUGGGGCUCAAACCGGGUAGAAGCUCCUGCUGCAUGUGGUGGAUUGGAAAAUUUCGGCGGUUGGGGAUGGACUCGCGGCUUAUCCGCUUGUUGGGGGGGUAGUUGCGUACCAAGGCUUUGACGGGUAGCCGGCCUGAGAGGGUAACCGGCUACCUUGGGCCUGAGAUACGCCCCAGACUGCUAUGGGAGGCAGCAGUGGGGAAUCUUGCAGAAUGGGGCGAAGCCUGAUGCAGAAAUGUUGCGUGCGGGAUGAUGGGCUUCGGGUUGUAAACAGAUUUGGAAUGUGAUGAAGAGUGAGUGACGGUAAUGGAUCAAGAAGCAACGGCUAACUACGUG
This 468-nucleotide ribosomal RNA is filed under the name uncultured bacterium. RNAcentral's name for it is "partial 16S ribosomal RNA". It matches the Rfam family "Bacterial small subunit ribosomal RNA", at positions 28 to 507 of the family's 1533-position model. The record is from RNAcentral.